UACUGGCCACCAGGAAGUGAGCCUCUCCUCUGCCCCCCACGCCCUGCCAUGAUGUUCUGCCUCACACCAGCCCAAAACCAGUGGAGCUAGCCGACUGUGGACUGAGACCUCUAAAACCAUCCAUCCAGCCUGCCCCGCCUGCUCUGUGAUGGGAGGCCACCAUCUAUGGAUUCCACCAAUAGGCUCCUUUGCCUCUGGCUUCCAGUACAACCUCUUGCAGGGCUGUGUCUUAUUAUCUCAUCCAAUGGCGUCUUUGUUCUGGAAUCUUCAUAUCCGGAUCAGACCACCGCUCUGUUCUGGAUGCCACUGCCUGCCGGGGAGCAUGGCUGCGGGUCACAUAGCUCUUCCAACUCACCCUGCCCUCCCAGAACUCCUGCUAAAGGAACCCUCUUCCACUUCCAUUGGUGAUUCUGUAACCAAGGUUCACUUGAUGCUUUGACUAUAUCCCCUGUAGCUAUGAAACGUACAUUUUUUUUUCUUUUCUCCAACCUUCUUCUCCUGAUCUUCUGCUCCCUGCUCUUUUCCCUAACUUUUCCCCUAAUCUUCUCUGAUCUUCUUUUCCCUAAACUUCUCCCUGAUCUUUUCCCUGAUGUCUCCUUCCUGAUCUCAUUUUCUCCUCCCUAAUCUCAUUUUCUCUGAAUCACCUCUAGAAUCACAGCCUUUGGGACUUGAUGUGUUUCUCCUUU
Molecule: long non-coding RNA, 686 nt
Organism: Marmota flaviventris (yellow-bellied marmot)
Lineage: Eukaryota; Metazoa; Chordata; Mammalia; Rodentia; Sciuridae
Source: RefSeq, a predicted model, not a curated record